Molecule: transfer RNA, 65 nt
Filed under: Dipodomys ordii (Ord's kangaroo rat)
Lineage: Eukaryota; Metazoa; Chordata; Mammalia; Rodentia; Heteromyidae
Rfam family: tRNA
About the family: Transfer RNA (tRNA) molecules are approximately 80 nucleotides in length. Their secondary structure includes four short double-helical elements and three loops (D, anti-codon, and T loops).
Source: Rfam by way of RNAcentral
GGUGGCUCAGUGGUAGAGCGCUUGCCUUGCAUGCGAGAGGUCCUGGGUUCAAUUCCUCUGUACCA